UACUCUGCCGAACUUCGCCCUUGCUGCAGAGUUUGAUCCUGGCUCAGAGCGAACGCUGGCGGCAGGCCUAACACAUGCAAGUCGAACGGCCCCUUCGGGGUUAGUGGCGGACGGGUGAGUAAUACGUGGGACCGUGCCUUUCGGUUCGGAAUAGCUCCUGGAAACGGGUGGUAAUGCCGAAUGUGCCCUUCGGGGGAAAGAUUUAUCGCCUUUAGAGCGGCCCGCGUCUGAUUAGCUUGUUGGUGGGGUAAUGGCCCGCCAAGGCUACGAUCAGUAGCUGGUCUGAGAGGAUGACCAGCCACAUUGGGACUGAGACACGGCCCAAACUCCUACGGGAGGCAGCAGUGGGGAAUCUUGCGCAAUGGGCGAAAGCUGACGCAGCCAUGCCGCGUGUAUGAUGACGGUCUUAGGAUUGUCAAAUACUUUCACCGGUGAAGAUAAUGACUGUCGCCGGAGAAGAAGCCCCGGCUAACUUCGUGCCAGCAGCCGCGGUAAUACGACGGGGGCUAGCGUUGCUCGGAAUUACUGGGCGUAAAGGGAGCGUAGGCGGACAUUUAAGUCAGAGGUGAAAUCCGGAGCUUAACUUCGGAACUGCCUUUGAUACUGGGUGUCUUGAGUGUGAGAGAGGUAUGUCGACUCCGAGUGUAGAGGUGAGAUCGUAGAUAUCGAGACACCAGUGGCGAGCGACAUACUGGCUCAUACUGACGCUAGCUCGAAGCUGGGGAGCAACAGAUAGAUACCUGUAGUCAGCGUAACGAUAU
Molecule: ribosomal RNA, 761 nt
Filed under: uncultured proteobacterium rcr_19
Lineage: Bacteria; Pseudomonadati; Pseudomonadota
Description: bacterial SSU rRNA
Rfam family: Bacterial small subunit ribosomal RNA
Source: RNAcentral